Molecule: ribosomal RNA, 76 nt
Filed under: Clostridia bacterium
Lineage: Bacteria; Bacillati; Bacillota; Clostridia
Description: partial 23S ribosomal RNA
Rfam family: Bacterial large subunit ribosomal RNA
Source: RNAcentral
AAGUUUGAUAGGUCAGAGGUGUAAGUGCAGUAAUGCAUUCAGCCGACUGAUACUAAUAGACCGAGGGCUUGAACCU